UACAGAGGGUGCAAGCGUUAAUCGGAAUUACUGGGCGUAAAGCGUGCGUAGGUGGUUCUUUAAGUCAGGUGUGAAAUCCCUGGGCUCAACCUGGGAACUGCAUUUGAUACUGAAGAGCUAGAGUGUGAUAGAGGAUAGUGGAAUUCCCGGUGUAGUGGUGAAAUGCGUAGAGAUCAGGCAGAACACCUGGGGCGAAGGCGGCCGGCUGGGCAGUUGCUGACGCUGAUGCGCGACAGCGUGGGGAGCAAACAGG
RNAcentral lists this ribosomal RNA (253 nucleotides) under uncultured bacterium. RNAcentral's name for it is "partial 16S ribosomal RNA". It matches the Rfam family "Bacterial small subunit ribosomal RNA", at positions 524 to 776 of the family's 1533-position model. The record is from RNAcentral.